This 973-nucleotide long non-coding RNA is filed under the name Callithrix jacchus (white-tufted-ear marmoset). RNAcentral describes it as "lncRNA (ENSCJAG00000076069.1)". The record is from RNAcentral. Lineage: Eukaryota; Metazoa; Chordata; Mammalia; Primates; Cebidae.
GUUAGUGAAAUGAAGAGUUGCUACAGGGCAGAAAGCAAAUAAUAAGAGCUCUGUAAACCAAUUUGGUUACUUACUUUCCCUCCAACUCAGGUGCCAUUCACUUAAGCAUUCUUGUGAAGGAACAGCUAUCGGCUAAGUCGUACCAGGGAAAUGCCAAUACAAAAAUAUCAGUAUGUACCUUAAGUAUUGAAUGGAUGUCAAAUACUGGGCAUGAAGAUUGCUAAGCAAAUCUAAGGAACAACUCUCCAAAGGCCACAGAUAGAGGUCUUCAGACAGACUGGAAGUGCAUCAUUGGUGUUCCUGGGUCUCUAGGCUGCAGAUGGUACAUCAUGGAAAUUUUCUACCUCCAUAAUCAUAAAAUAAAUACUUCUCUGAGAGAGAGAACUCACAAAGACUGUAGUCUGACCAAUUUCAAUGCCAAGGUUAUAUUGGCAGUUUGUGACAUGGAGGAAUGAAAUUCUUGUCCAAAGGCGAUAUACAAGCUUCAUGUUCUUCUAUACUUGGAUAAAAAAGAAGAGGAAGAAGAAAAACCCACCUCUGAAUUCUCAUGUCAAGGCUAAACCAUUUACAAAGUACAGUAGUAAAUAUGCAGGUGGAAGUGAAAAAACAAUUCAAUGCAAGUUGCAAAGAAUGGAGGGUGCACAGAGUUAUUUGGAGAGCCAGGCUGAUGGAGGUGCCACCAUUUCCAGUACAUGAAAUUUAACAUCCAACCAGCAAGGUGGAAGGAAAGCAAAUAAACAUGAAGAAGGCCCAGAAGUGACAAGUGACAUUUCAGUUCACAUUUCAUUGGUGAGAACUGGUCACAUGGCUCCAUCCCGCUGCAAAGGGCCAGGAAGUAUAAUGUAGCUGUAUGCCCAGCAGGAGGAAGUAUUUUUGGUAAGCAUGCCAGAAAGACUGCAUUACAAAUCACAAUCUCUUUUAGGUAAAGCACUAUGCUAGGCACUAAGCAAACCAAAGUAAAUCAAACAUGGUU